RNAcentral lists this non-coding RNA (87 nucleotides) under Rhodovulum sp. RNAcentral's name for it is "Glycine sequence". It matches the Rfam family "Glycine riboswitch aptamer". Rfam says of the family: This family represents the bacterial glycine riboswitch. Glycine riboswitches usually consist of two metabolite-binding aptamers domains with similar structures in tandem. The record is from RNAcentral. RNAcentral also lists the same sequence under 1 other name. Lineage: Bacteria; Pseudomonadati; Pseudomonadota; Alphaproteobacteria; Rhodobacterales; Paracoccaceae.
UGCCCCCUGACGGGAGAGACCGGCCUCGCCGGCGCCGAAGGAGCAACCGCCCCGGAAACUCUCAGGCAAAAGGACCGUCACGGGACG